GAUGAACGCUGGCGGCGUGCCUAAUACAUGCAAGUCGAGCGAACAGACGAGGCGCUUGCUCCUCUGACGUUAGCGGAAGACGGGUGAGAAACGCGUGGAUACUCUCCCUAUAAGACUGGGAACACUUCGGGAAACCGGCGCUAAUAGCGGAUAAUAUCUUGAACCGUGUGGUUCAAUAGUGAAAGACGGCUUUGCUGUCACUUCUCGCUGGAUCCCCGCUGCAUUAGCUGGUUGGUACGCUAAAGGCUUAUCAAGGCAAGUAUGCGUAGCCGACCUGAGAGGGUGGUAGGCCACAUGGGAACGGAGACACGGUCCAUACGCCUGCGGGAGGCAGCAGUAGGGAAUCGUCCGCAAAAGGCGAAAACCUGACGGAGCAGCGCCACGUGAGUGAUAGAAGUCUUCGGAUCGGAAAACUCUGUUAUUAGGGAAGAACAAAUGUGGAAGGAACUAUGCACGUCGUGACGGUACCUAAUCAGAAAGCCACGGCUAACUACGUG
Molecule: ribosomal RNA, 497 nt
Filed under: uncultured bacterium
Lineage: Bacteria
Description: partial 16S ribosomal RNA
Rfam family: Bacterial small subunit ribosomal RNA
Source: RNAcentral